Molecule: ribosomal RNA, 410 nt
Filed under: uncultured bacterium
Lineage: Bacteria
Description: bacterial SSU rRNA
Rfam family: Bacterial small subunit ribosomal RNA
Source: RNAcentral
GUGGGGAAUAUUGCACAAUGGGCGAAAGCCUGAUGCAGCAACGCCGCGUGAGGGACGACGGCCUUCGGGUUGUAAACCUCUUUUAGCAAGGAAGAAGCGAAAGUGACGGUACUUGCAGAAAAAGCGCCGGCUAACUACGUGCCAGCAGCCGCGGUAAUACGUAGGGCGCAAGCGUUAUCCGGAAUUAUUGGGCGUAAAGAGCUCGUAGGCGGUUUGUCGCGUCUGCUGUGAAAUCCCGAGGCUCAACCUCGGGUCUGCAGUGGGUACGGGCAGACUAGAGUGCGGUAGGGGAGAUUGGAAUUCCUGGUGUAGCGGUGGAAUGCGCAGAUAUCAGGAGGAACACCGAUGGCGAAGGCAGAUCUCUGGGCCGUAACUGACGCUGAGGAGCGAAAGGGUGGGGAGCAAACAGG